UACGAAGGGUGCAAGCGUUACUCGGAAUUACUGGGCGUAAAGGGUGCGUAGGUGGUUUGUUAAGUCUGCUGUGAAAUCCCCGGGCUCAACCUGGGAAUGGCAGUGGAUACUGGCAAGCUAGAGUGCGGUAGAGGGUAGUGGAAUUCCCGGUGUAGCAGUGAAAUGCGUAGAUAUGCGGAGGAACACCGAUGGCGAAGGCAAUCCCCUGGGCCUGCACUGACGCUCAUGCACGAAAGCGUGGGGAGCAAACAGG
Molecule: ribosomal RNA, 253 nt
Filed under: uncultured bacterium
Lineage: Bacteria
Description: partial 16S ribosomal RNA
Rfam family: Bacterial small subunit ribosomal RNA
Source: RNAcentral